UAGAGUUUGAUCAUGGCUCAGGAUGAACGCUAGCGACAGGCUUAACACAUGCAAGUCGAGGGGCAGCGGGGAGGUAGCAAUACUUCCGCCGGCGACCGGCGCACGGGUGAGUAACACGUAUGCAACCUGCCCUCCACAGGGGGACAACCUUCCGAAAGGGAGGCUAAUCCCGCGUAAAUCUCGAUGGGGCAUCCCAUUGAGAGGAAAGCUUCGGCGGUGGAGGAUGGGCAUGCGGCGCAUUAGCUAGUCGGCGGGGUAACGGCCCACCGAGGCGACGAUGCGUAGGGGUUCUGAGAGGAAGGUCCCCCACACUGGUACUGAGACACGGACCAGACUCCUACGGGAGGCAGCAGUGAGGAAUAUUGGUCAAUGGGCGGGAGCCUGAACCAGCCAAGCCGCGUGAGGGAAUAAGGCCCUAUGGGUCGUAAACCUCUUUUGUCGGGGAACAAAAGCGGGGACGCGUCCCCGUCUGCGUGUACCCGAAGAAAAAGCAUCGGCUAACUCCGUGCCAGCAGCCGCGGUAAUACGGAGGAUGCGAGCGUUAUCCGGAUUUAUUGGGUUUAAAGGGUGCGUAGGCGGUAUGGUAAGUCAGCGGUAAAAGCCCGGGGCUCAACCCCGGCGAGCCGUUGAAACUGGCGUUCUUGAGUGGGCGAGAAGUAUGCGGAAUGCGUGGUGUAGCGGUGAAAUGCAUAGAUAUCACGCAGAACUCCGAUUGCGAAGGCAGCAUACCGGCGCCCUACUGACGCUGAGGCACGAAAGCGUGGGUAUCGAACAGGAUUAGAUACCCUGGUAGUCCACGCAGUAAACGAUGAAUGCUAACUGUCCGGUGCGAGUGAGCGCUGGGCGGUACAGCGAAAGCGUUAAGCAUUCCACCUGGGGAGUACGCCGGCAACGGUGAAACUCAAAGGAAUUGACGGGGGCCCGCACAAGCGGAGGAACAUGUGGUUUAAUUCGAUGAUACGCGAGGAACCUUACCCGGGCUCAAACGCAGGCUGACGGGUCCCGAAAGGGGCCUUUCUUCGGACAUUCUGCGAGGUGCUGCAUGGUUGUCGUCAGCUCGUGCCGUGAGGUGUCGGCUUAAGUGCCAUAACGAGCGCAACCCCUGUCCACAGUUGCCAGCAGGUAAAGCUGGGGACUCUGUGGAGACUGCCGGCGCAAGCUGCGAGGAAGGCGGGGAUGACGUCAAAUCAGCACGGCCCUUACGUCCGGGGCGACACACGUGUUACAAUGGCAGGUACAGCGGGAUGCCACGGGGCGACCCGGCGCUGAACCCGAAAACCUGUCUCAGUUCGGAUUGGAGUCUGCAACCCGACUCCAUGAAGCUGGAUUCGCUAGUAAUCGCGCAUCAGCCACGGCGCGGUGAAUACGUUCCCGGGCCUUGUACACACCGCCCGUCAAGCCAUGGAAGCCGGGGGUACCUGAAGUGCGUGACCGCGAGGAGCGCCCUAGGGUAAAACCGGUGACUGGGGCUAAGUCGUAACAAGGUAACCGUAA
This 1494-nucleotide ribosomal RNA is filed under the name uncultured bacterium. RNAcentral describes it as "bacterial SSU rRNA". It matches the Rfam family "Bacterial small subunit ribosomal RNA". The record is from RNAcentral.